RNAcentral lists this ribosomal RNA (253 nucleotides) under uncultured bacterium. RNAcentral's name for it is "partial 16S ribosomal RNA". It matches the Rfam family "Bacterial small subunit ribosomal RNA", at positions 524 to 776 of the family's 1533-position model. The record is from RNAcentral.
UACGUAGGGUGCAAGCGUUGUCCGGAAUUAUUGGGCGUAAAGAGCGCGUAGGCGGUCAGUCGCGUCUGCUGUGAAAACUCGGGGCUUAACCCCGGGCCUGCAGUGGGUACCGGCAGACUAGAGUGCGGUAGGGGAGACUGGAAUUCCUGGUGUAGCGGUGAAAUGCGCAGAUAUCAGGAGGAACACCGGUGGCGAAGGCGGGUCUCUGGGCCGUAACUGACGCUGAGGCGCGAAAGCGUGGGGAGCGAACAGG